UAUCACCACUAGGGGUGCUUCAUAGAAGCUGAGAGAAGAAAUUUUAUUCUUUAACCCUUUGAACCUGAUUUGGCCAGUACCAACGUAGGGAAGUGAAUGAAGCUUUUU
RNAcentral lists this non-coding RNA (108 nucleotides) under Paracerasibacillus soli. RNAcentral describes it as "Virgibacillus soli TPP sequence". It matches the Rfam family "TPP riboswitch aptamer (THI element)". Rfam says of the family: Vitamin B(1) in its active form thiamin pyrophosphate (TPP) is an essential coenzyme that is synthesised by coupling of pyrimidine and thiazole moieties in bacteria. Lineage: Bacteria; Bacillati; Bacillota; Bacilli; Caryophanales; Bacillaceae. The record is from RNAcentral.